This is a non-coding RNA of Trichocladium antarcticum, 115 nucleotides long. The record is from the annotation of a GenBank genome assembly. Lineage: Eukaryota; Fungi; Ascomycota; Sordariomycetes; Sordariales; Chaetomiaceae.
GGCUCAAUGGUCUAGUGGUAUGAUUCGUGCUUCGGGAUAAGGACAGGUUCCUCCCGUGCUUGGAAACAAGUAUCGAGAAUGUGCGAGGUCUCGGGUUCGAUCCCCGAUUGAGCCC